UUCUCUCUGAAGACAGCCUUCUCACAAACCUAACCCUGCGGAAUAACCGUAUCGGAGACGAGGGAGCCCGUCUGAUUGGUUUGGCUCUCUCAACAACUAGAUCUGCCAACAAGAACCUAAUUUACCUAAAUCUGGCUUUCAAUUGUAUCGGUGAUGCCGGUGCUGCACAUAUCGCACAGGGCCUGCGGUUCAAUCGUGCUUUGCUCGCGCUCUCACUGUGCAACAAUCAUAUCGGAGACCAGGGGGCUCGUCACAUGGCUGCGAUUCUUAGCGAGUUUGCUCUCACUCAUGACGAAAUUGUGGAGAAGAGGAAGAUGCUUCUGGAAAGAAAACAGCGUUCGUCCGUAGGGAUUGAAUCUGACCAGCCUGCAGACCAACUUUCCUCAGUAGCCAGCAGCAGUUCACAGAGCGUUGGCAAAGGGGCAAACCAAGGAAAACAAAAGGUAACAAACCAAAAAUCUUUGUAAUUGGUGUAACUCAUUUGGUAUCUGUGGUUUGUAAUUCAGUAAUUAAGUAAUGCUGCCAUCUUUUAACUUACAGAAAGAGAAGAAAGCUCCUAAGGAAGAGAAGUCUAACAAGAAAUCUUCUGAUAUAAAAGUGACUCCAAGUAAAGGUGGAAAUCCAGAGAAAGCACUGAAUGCGCAAAAGGACGUUCCUCUGAAGCUGCGUGUUCUAUGUAGCCCAGCACACGAAGACACGACAGUACCUUUAAUCAUUUGGUUGUUUUACUUUGUUUUUAUGGCAGGAUAAAUCAAAUACUGCCCAGUGAGCAAACAAAUUUAAAAAUCUAAAAUCUGGUCCUUUUCACACACUUCUUCCCUCCCUCUCAGCCGGUGGAGCCGGUGGAGCCCCUGCUGGACGAGCCCGUGCACUACAGGGACGGAGAGCUUUUUAUGUCUGGAAACAAGGCGCUCACCUCCCUCAACUUGGCAGGAAACAGAAUAACACAGAGGUCGCUGCCUCUUUUCCUGGAGUCACUCAUGAUGCAGGGGGAGGGACGUCGCCUGCUGCGUCUCUGCCUGCAGAGAAACUGCUUCCCACCAAGAUGUGAGUGUUAUGUGAAGAUACAGAAACUGAUGGACCUCAGGGAUCCACUCAAAAGAGCUUCUUAAUGAGCA
This is a non-coding RNA of Gasterosteus aculeatus aculeatus (three-spined stickleback), 1118 nucleotides long. NCBI's taxonomy places the organism in Eukaryota, Metazoa, Chordata, Actinopteri, Perciformes, Gasterosteidae. The record is from RefSeq and is a predicted model, not a curated record.